This 472-nucleotide ribosomal RNA is filed under the name uncultured bacterium. RNAcentral's name for it is "bacterial SSU rRNA". It matches the Rfam family "Bacterial small subunit ribosomal RNA", at positions 28 to 510 of the family's 1533-position model. The record is from RNAcentral.
AAUGAACGUUGGCGGCGUGGAUUAGGCAUGCAAGUCGCGCGAUAAGUCACCUUCGGGUGGCGGAAAGCGGCGAAAGGGAGAGUAACACGUGGGAACCUGCCCUCAGGCCCGGGAUAGCUGUGGGAAACUGCAGAUAAUACCGGAUGAUGUCUCCGGACCAAAGGUGUGAUUCCGCCGGAGGAGGGGCCCGCGUCCUAUCAGCUAGUUGGUGAGGUAAUGGCUCACCAAGGCUACGACGGGUACGGGGUGUGAGAGCAUGCCCCCGCUCACUGGGACUGAGACACUGCCCAGACACCUACGGGUGGCUGCAGUCGAGAAUCUUCCGCAAUGGGCGAAAGCCUGACGGAGCGACGCCGCGUGCGAGAUGAAGGCCUUCGGGUUGUAAAUCGCUGUCAGUGGGGAGCAAAUGCAUGGGGGUUCUCCCUCAUGUUUGAGCGAUCCGCAGAGGAAGCACAGGGCUAAGUUCGUGCCA